CCUACGGGUGGCUGCAGUCGAGGAUCUUCGUCAAUGGGGGCAACCCUGAACGAGCGAUGCCGCGUGUGCGAUGAAGGCCUUCGGGUUGUAAAGCACAAAAGAGAUAAGAAAGGGCAACUUGAUCGAAUCUCAGUAAGCUCGGGCUAAGUUCGUGCCAGCAGCCGCGGUAAGACGAACCGAGCGAACGUUGUUCGGAAUCACUGGGCUUAAAGGGCGCGUAGGCGGGUGGUUAAGUCUGUGGUGAAAUCCUCCAGCUCAACUGGAGAACUGCCAUG
RNAcentral lists this ribosomal RNA (275 nucleotides) under uncultured Zavarzinella sp. RNAcentral's name for it is "partial 16S ribosomal RNA". It matches the Rfam family "Bacterial small subunit ribosomal RNA", at positions 338 to 628 of the family's 1533-position model. The record is from RNAcentral. Lineage: Bacteria; Pseudomonadati; Planctomycetota; Planctomycetia; Gemmatales; Gemmataceae.